Long non-coding RNA from Juglans microcarpa x Juglans regia, 144 nucleotides. RefSeq lists it as uncharacterized. The transcript has 3 exons. NCBI's taxonomy places the organism in Eukaryota, Viridiplantae, Streptophyta, Magnoliopsida, Fagales, Juglandaceae. The record is from RefSeq and is a predicted model, not a curated record.
GGCCUGAUGAGCUGGAAGUUAAGUCUUCUACCUUUCUAAAUCCAAUCUGCAGUUAUGUUAAAUUUGGUUUUUAAGCAAUUAUGUUGAAUAUCAGACCUUACUUAUAAAAAAAGCCAGAGCAAAAAAAACAUUUUUCAACAUCAA